CCUACGGGGGACAGCAGUGAGGAAUAUUGGUCAAUGGCCGGAAGGCUGAACCAGCCAUGCCGCGUGAAGGUCAGUGCCCUAUGGGCGUUAAACUUCUUUUGUGCGGGAGCAAUAAUGGUCACGUGUGGCCAGACGAGAGUACCGUACGAAUAAGCAUCGGCUAACUCCGUGCCAGCAGCCGCGGUAAUACGGGGGAUGCAAGCGUUAUCCGGAUUUAUUGGGUUUAAAGGGUGCGUAGGCUGUGAGGUAAGUCAGCGGUGAAAUGCCCCCGCUCAACGGGGUGAAGUGCCAUUGAUACUGCCUGGCUGGAAUGCGGAUGCCGUGGGACGAAUGUGUGGUGUAGCGGUGAAAUGCAUAGAUAUCACACAGAACACCGAUUGCGAAGGCAUCUCACGAAUCCGCGAUUGACGCUGAUGCACGAAAGCGUGGGUAUCAAACAGGAUUAGAUACCCGGGUAGUC
Molecule: ribosomal RNA, 460 nt
Filed under: uncultured bacterium
Lineage: Bacteria
Description: partial 16S ribosomal RNA
Rfam family: Bacterial small subunit ribosomal RNA
Source: RNAcentral